Molecule: ribosomal RNA, 152 nt
Filed under: fungal sp. jzk1-7
Lineage: Eukaryota; Fungi
Description: 5.8S ribosomal RNA
Rfam family: 5.8S ribosomal RNA
About the family: 5.8S ribosomal RNA (5.8S rRNA) is a component of the large subunit of the eukaryotic ribosome. It is transcribed by RNA polymerase I as part of the 45S precursor that also contains 18S and 28S rRNA.
Source: RNAcentral
AACUUUCAACAACGGAUCUCUUGGUUCUGGCAUCGAUGAAGAACGCAGCGAAAUGCGAUAAGUAAUGUGAAUUGCAAAAUUCAGUGAAUCAUCGAAUCUUUGAACGCACAUUGCGCCCGCCAGUAUUCUGGCGGGCAUGCCUGUCCGAGCGU